Molecule: long non-coding RNA, 850 nt
Organism: Pteropus alecto (black flying fox)
Lineage: Eukaryota; Metazoa; Chordata; Mammalia; Chiroptera; Pteropodidae
Exons: 4
Source: RefSeq, a predicted model, not a curated record
UCAGAGUUAGUUUGGUGGGAGCGCCAGCUGGAUUCUGUGGAGAUAGUUGCUCUCAAGACUCAGCAGAAAGAGAAGUGAUGGAGUGAUCUGCAUUUUCUCCUAUCCAUUCUUGACCACCUGCUUUUAAGGCUACCGUUGCUAAAGAGUUGGGAUGUGACCAAGGGCUCUGCAACUUGAAGAUCAGAAGGAUCAGGAAGCUGGGAGCAGCAGUCGGUGGGAAUCCGGGCAGCCAAAUGACAGGAACACUUUACCCUCCUUGGUAAAGCAACAUCUGGGACCUGUGCUGAUGCCCGCCCAUGCUUCGUUACUCCAUGCCCUCCCCCACCUCCUGCCUCCCCAAAGUCAACGUUGAACCAGUGGCUGCAUAAGUGAGCGAAUCAGGAGAGGGUGUUUCACUAACAUUCUCAGUGGGUGGCUACUGCUUAGCUCCAUUCAUUAUCGUCAUAAGGAUAAGGACAUGUCCAAUCAUCACAUAUUUAUCAGCAAAUUACCAUUUUAGAGAUGGCAACCAGUCUGAAGGAGGAUGAGUUGGUGGAGAAGGGAAAUAGAAAGAGCAGGGGGAAGAGAGGAGGACCGGUGAUAGGACAUACUCCUGACUCCAGCAGCGACUGCAGAAACAUGCAUGACCUUUGAAAGCACACAGAAUGCUCACGGAAUAGAACUAGAGGUCACAGCCAGGUAGGGUUUGUUGUCUUCUACAGGCUGUCAUGGGGCCACAAGGGCCAGAAAAAGCUUCUUUGGUCUGAAUGCAAUACUUGGAGUAUUCAGAGUGCAUGCUGACAGCAGUUGCUUUUCAAAGGCGCUGUAAAUUCCAGCUCAUUGUUCUAUCCCAUUUUCCAUUCAGAGGCAC